AGCACGCUUAGGCGUGUGACUGCGUACCUUUUGUAUAAUGGGUCAGCGACUUAUAUUCUGUAGCAAGGUUAACCGAAUAGGGGAGCCGAAGGGAAACCGAGUCUUAACUGGGCGUUAAGUUGCAGGGUAUAGACCCGAAACCCGGUGAUCUAGCCAUGGGCAGGUUGAAGGUUGGGUAACACUAACUGGAGGACCGAACCGACUAAUGUUGAAAAAUUAGCGGAUGACUUGUGGCUGGGGGUGAAAGGCCAAUCAAACCGGGAGAUAGCUGGUUCUCCCCGAAAGCUAUUUAGGUAGCGCCUCGUGAAUUCAUCUCCGGGGGUAGAGCACUGUUUCGGCAAGGGGGUCAUCCCGACUUACCAACCCGAUGCAAACUGCGAAUACCGGAGAAUGUUAUCACGGGAGACACACGGCGGGUGCUAACGUCCGUCGUGAAGAGGGAAACAACCCAGACCGCCAGCUAAGGUCCC
Molecule: ribosomal RNA, 470 nt
Filed under: Escherichia coli
Lineage: Bacteria; Pseudomonadati; Pseudomonadota; Gammaproteobacteria; Enterobacterales; Enterobacteriaceae
Description: partial 23S ribosomal RNA
Rfam family: Bacterial large subunit ribosomal RNA
Source: RNAcentral